GUGCCGGAGGGGGUCUGUAUAAGUUUGUGUCAGACAGUGCAUGUGUACGACUCGUGCAUCUGUGUGAAUGUGUCAGCGUACGUACAUGUGCAUGAGCAUGUGUGCGUCGGGCUGCAUGAGCGUGUCAGCAUGUGAGUGGGCUAAGGUCCAUCAGCUUCCUGGACUGGGUUGGUAUUAUAGCAGUGGAUGGAUCAGAACGUUGUCUGCAUGUCAGCAUGUGUGAGCGAGUGUGUGUAUCACUGUGUGAGCGUGCCUGUGCGGAGUGUCAGUGUGUGCAUGUGUGUCGGGGGUGGCGAAAUGCCAGGGGAGAUGGUGGUGUGUGUGUGUCACUGUGUUAGCGUCUCUGUGCGGAGUGUCAGUGUGUACAUGUGUGUCCGGCCGGGCGGCAAAAUACCAGGGGAGAUGGUGGUGUGUGUGUGUUACUGUGUGAGUGUGUCUGUGCAGUGUCAGUGUGUACAUGUGUGAGGGAUGGCGAAAUGCCAGGGGAGAUGGUGGUGUGUGUGUGUUACUGUGUGAGUGUGUCUAGUGUCAGUGUGUACAUGUGUGAGGGAUGGCAAAAUGCCAGGGGAGAUGGUGGUGUGUGUGUGUUACUGUGUGAGUGUGUCUGUGCAGAGUGUCAGUGUGUACAUGUGUGAGGGAUGGCGAAAUGCCAGGGGAGAUGGUGGUGUGUGUGUGUUACUGUGUGAGUGUGUCUAGUGUCAGUGUGUACAUGUGUGAGGGAUGGCGAAAUGCCAGGGGAGAUGGUGGUGUGUGUGUGUUACUGUGUGAGUGUGUCUGUGCAGUGUCAGUGUGUACAUGUGUAAGGGAUGGCGAAAUGCCAGGGGAGAUGGUGGUGUGUGUGUGUUACUGUAUGAGUGUGUCUGUGCAGUGUCAGUGUGUACAUGUGUGAGGGAUGGCGAAAUGCCAGGGGAGAUGGUGGUGUGUGUGUGUUACUGUGUGAGUGUGUCUGUGCAGAGUGUCAGUGUGUGCAUGUGUGUCAGGGGUGGCGAAAUGCCAGGGGAGAUGGUGGUAGCAGAUUCCCUCUCUCCACUUGUUUCUCCCCUUUCAGUCUCUCUCUCCCUGCACCUUCAGCAGGGAACCUCCCCUCCCCAGGGCCAUGAGCUCUGCCUCCCUCGGGCAUCGAUCGGCUCUGGGGUCUCGCAGAGCCAGGCGCUCUGCACAGCCCCAUCCCUGCUCUCUCUAUCACCCAGUCCCAGGAGCUAAUGUUGGCAGAGCCCGGGGGCUAGGUCCAGCC
This is a long non-coding RNA of Gopherus flavomarginatus (Mexican gopher tortoise), 1234 nucleotides long. RefSeq lists it as uncharacterized. The transcript is spliced from 3 exons. The record is from RefSeq and is a predicted model, not a curated record. NCBI's taxonomy places the organism in Eukaryota, Metazoa, Chordata, Testudines, Testudinidae.